UCUCCACAGGGAUGUGAACGAGGACAUGGAGACUGAGGCAAUCUAUGUUAAUGCUCGACCUCCUGGAUGGAGAAAUCAAUAAAGUCGCCGGUGAAGCAAAACCUGAUGGAGCUGCAGACCAAACCAUCUUUUAUUUUUCUGUUCAGCUACUGAAUUUUUAAUCAUGUAGAACUUUUUUUUGUUGUUGCUUUUAUUGCUAACACAUUGUUAUGAGCAGUGAUUUCCAAUAUUAUGUUUAAUUUUCCUCAUUUUUUAUUUGCUAAUUGUCUUUGUGCACAUAGCACCAUAUUACAUAUCCUGUUUACUCAGGCUGAGAAUCUGGACAGGCAAGGCAGGGCAACUUUAUUUAUAAAGUGCAUUUUUAAACAAGAAAUUGGUGGCCAGUGCACUGAACAAAUAAAAACACACAAAGGCACACGCAACACGUAAAACAUUCAGAGAAAUAAAACCACAAAACAUAAAACAAGGUUAACCAGAGGCAGUUCCAGUCUUUAAGGAAACCCUGGACUGAGCCCAGACUGGAUGUAAAUUCAAAGAAGAAGCAAAGAUUUUUGUAAUAUAAAAAAGGUGUUACAGUAGACUAUAGAUAGCAGGACACAGACUGUAGAGAGUCUAUAAAAGAAUUUUAUGUCCAGAUCCAGGCAUGUUUAAACAGAGCAAUGUUCAUCUAAUGCAUAAUGAAGUAUAACGUAAAAUCUAAUGUUAGAUCUAAUAUCUAAUGCUUUCUGUUUUUGAAAAUUGCAUUUGAAGUAAAAGAAAAUCUCUCUUCA
Long non-coding RNA from Melanotaenia boesemani (Boeseman's rainbowfish), 770 nucleotides. RefSeq lists it as uncharacterized. The record is from RefSeq and is a predicted model, not a curated record. Lineage: Eukaryota; Metazoa; Chordata; Actinopteri; Atheriniformes; Melanotaeniidae. The transcript has 2 exons.